Molecule: ribosomal RNA, 253 nt
Filed under: uncultured bacterium
Lineage: Bacteria
Description: partial 16S ribosomal RNA
Rfam family: Bacterial small subunit ribosomal RNA
Source: RNAcentral
GACGGGGGGUCCUAGCGUUGUUCGGAAUCAUUGGGCGUAAAGCGUGUGCAGGUGGUUUGGUAAGUUGGAUGUGAAAGCCCCGAGCUUAACUCGGGAAGUGCAUUCAAAACUACCAAACUUGAGUAUGGAAGAGGGUCGUGGAAUUCCAGGUGUAGUGGUGAAAUACGUAGAUAUCUGGAGGAACACCGGCGGUGAAAACGGACAGCUGGGGGUGUGCUGACGCUGAGACACGAAAGCCAGGGGAGCGAACGGG